AGCGUACACGGUGGAUGCCCUGGCAGUCAGAGGCGAUGAAGGACGUGCUAAUCUGCGAUAAGCGUCGGUGAGGUGAUAUGAACCGUUAUAACCGGCGAUUUCCGAAUGGGGAAACCCAGUGUGUUUCGACACACUAUCAUUAACUGAAUCCAUAGGUUAAUGAGGCGAACCGGGGGAACUGAAACAUCUAAGUACCCCGAGGAAAAGAAAUCAACCGAGAUUCCCCCAGUAGCGGCGAGCGAACGGGGAGGAGCCCAGAGCCUGAAUCAGUGUGUGUGUUAGUGGAAGCGUCUGGAAAGGCGCGCGAUACAGGGUGACAGCCCCGUACACAAAAAUGCACAUAUUGUGAGCUCGAUGAGUAGGGCGGGACACGUGGUAUCCUGUCUGAAUAUGGGGGGACCAUCCUCCAAGGCUAAAUACUCCUGACUGACCGAUAGUGAACCAGUACCGUGAGGGAAAGGCGAAAAGAACCCCGGCGAGGGGAGUGAAAAAGAACCUGAAACCGUGUACGUACAAGCAGUGGGAGCCUCUUAAUGGGGUGACUGCGUACCUUUUGUAUAAUGGGUCAGCGACUUAUAUUCUGUAGCAAGGUUAACCGAAUAGGGGAGCCGAAGGGAAACCGAGUCUUAACUGGGCGUUAAGUUGCAGGGUAUAGACCCGAAACCCGGUGAUCUAGCCAUGGGCAGGUUGAAGGUUGGGUAACACUAACUGGAGGACCGAACCGACUAAUGUUGAAAAAUUAGCGGAUGACUUGUGGCUGGGGGUGAAAGGCCAAUCAAACCGGGAGAUAGCUGGUUCUCCCCGAAAGCUAUUUAGGUAGCGCCUCGUGAAUUCAUCUCCGGGGGUAGAGCACUGUUUCGGCAAGGGGGUCAUCCCGACUUACCAACCCGAUGCAAACUGCGAAUACCGGAGAAUGUUAUCACGGGAGACACACGGCGGGUGCUAACGUCCGUCGUGAAGAGGGAAACAACCCAGACCGCCAGCUAAGGUCCCAAAGUCAUGGUUAAGUGGGAAACGAUGUGGGAAGGCCCAGACAGCCAGGAUGUUGGCUUAGAAGCAGCCAUCAUUUAAAGAAAGCGUAAUAGCUCACUGGUCGAGUCGGCCUGCGCGGAAGAUGUAACGGGGCUAAACCAUGCACCGAAGCUGCGGCAGCGACACUAUGUGUUGUUGGGUAGGGGAGCGUUCUGUAAGCCUGUGAAGGUGUGCUGUGAGGCAUGCUGGAGGUAUCAGAAGUGCGAAUGCUGACAUAAGUAACGAUAAAGCGGGUGAAAAGCCCGCUCGCCGGAAGACCAAGGGUUCCUGUCCAACGUUAAUCGGGGCAGGGUGAGUCGACCCCUAAGGCGAGGCCGAAAGGCGUAGUCGAUGGGAAACAGGUUAAUAUUCCUGUACUUGGUGUUACUGCGAAGGGGGGACGGAGAAGGCUAUGUUGGCCGGGCGACGGUUGUCCCGGUUUAAGCGUGUAGGCUGGUUUUCCAGGCAAAUCCGGAAAACCAAGGCUGAGGCGUGAUGACGAAGCACUACGGUGCUGAAGCGACAAAUGCCCUGCUUCCAGGAAAAGCCUCUAAGCAUCAGGUAACAUCAAAUCGUACCCCAAACCGACACAGGUGGUCAGGUAGAGAAUACCAAGGCGCUUGAGAGAACUCGGGUGAAGGAACUAGGCAAAAUGGUGCCGUAACUUCGGGAGAAGGCACGCUGAUAUGUAGGUGAAGCGACUUGCUCGUGGAGCUGAAAUCAGUCGAAGAUACCAGCUGGCUGCAACUGUUUAUUAAAAACACAGCACUGUGCAAACACGAAAGUGGACGUAUACGGUGUGACGCCUGCCCGGUGCCGGAAGGUUAAUUGAUGGGGUUAGCGGUAACGCGAAGCUCUUGAUCGAAGCCCCGGUAAACGGCGGCCGUAACUAUAACGGUCCUAAGGUAGCGAAAUUCCUUGUCGGGUAAGUUCCGACCUGCACGAAUGGCGUAAUGAUGGCCAGGCUGUCUCCACCCGAGACUCAGUGAAAUUGAACUCGCUGUGAAGAUGCAGUGUACCCGCGGCAAGACGGAAAGACCCCGUGAACCUUUACUAUAGCUUGACACUGAACAUUGAGCCUUGAUGUGUAGGAUAGGUGGGAGGCUUUGAAGUGUGGACGCCAGUCUGCAUGGAGCCGACCUUGAAAUACCACCCUUUAAUGUUUGAUGUUCUAACGUUGGCCCGUAAUCCGGGUUGCGGACAGUGUCUGGUGGGUAGUUUGACUGGGGCGGUCUCCUCCUAAAGAGUAACGGAGGAGCACGAAGGUUGGCUAAUCCUGGUCGGACAUCAGGAGGUUAGUGCAAUGGCAUAAGCCAGCUUGACUGCGAGCGUGACGGCGCGAGCAGGUGCGAAAGCAGGUCAUAGUGAUCCGGUGGUUCUGAAUGGAAGGGCCAUCGCUCAACGGAUAAAAGGUACUCCGGGGAUAACAGGCUGAUACCGCCCAAGAGUUCAUAUCGACGGCGGUGUUUGGCACCUCGAUGUCGGCUCAUCACAUCCUGGGGCUGAAGUAGGUCCCAAGGGUAUGGCUGUUCGCCAUUUAAAGUGGUACGCGAGCUGGGUUUAGAACGUCGUGAGACAGUUCGGUCCCUAUCUGCCGUGGGCGCUGGAGAACUGAGGGGGGCUGCUCCUAGUACGAGAGGACCGGAGUGGACGCAUCACUGGUGUUCGGGUUGUCAUGCCAAUGGCACUGCCCGGUAGCUAAAUGCGGAAGAGAUAAGUGCUGAAAGCAUCUAAGCACGAAACUUGCCCCGAGAUGAGUUCU
RNAcentral lists this ribosomal RNA (2773 nucleotides) under Escherichia coli. Its description in RNAcentral is "bacterial LSU rRNA". It matches the Rfam family "Bacterial large subunit ribosomal RNA". The record is from RNAcentral. Lineage: Bacteria; Pseudomonadati; Pseudomonadota; Gammaproteobacteria; Enterobacterales; Enterobacteriaceae.